AAACGCUUGAAGUCAGUCGCACCGUUCAGGAUUCAGCCUUGCUUCUGCUCGGUUUACUUCCUGUUGGGUGGGUCAACAUCAGUUUUGGUCGGAGGAGAAAAGCUUGGGGAAGGUGGCAGCAUUCGUGCUGUGUUAUAGCCCCUUGUUGUAUACUUCGACUGGGACUGAGGACCGCAGCACGCCUUUGGCCG
RNAcentral lists this ribosomal RNA (191 nucleotides) under Sebacina sp. RNAcentral describes it as "partial large subunit ribosomal RNA". The record is from RNAcentral. Lineage: Eukaryota; Fungi; Basidiomycota; Agaricomycetes; Sebacinales; Sebacinaceae.